UUAAAACAGUGCUCACCCACGCUCUCCAC
This 29-nucleotide non-coding RNA is filed under the name Mus musculus (house mouse). Lineage: Eukaryota; Metazoa; Chordata; Mammalia; Rodentia; Muridae. The record is from RNAcentral.